Molecule: ribosomal RNA, 237 nt
Filed under: uncultured bacterium
Lineage: Bacteria
Description: partial 16S ribosomal RNA
Rfam family: Bacterial small subunit ribosomal RNA
Source: RNAcentral
UGGCGGACGGGUGAGUAACGCGUGGGUAACCUGCCUCAUACAGGGGGAUAACAGUUAGAAAUGACUGCUAAUACCGCAUAAGACCACAGCACCGCAUGGUGCAGGGGUAAAAACUCCGGUGGUAUGAGAUGGACCCGCGUCUGAUUAGGUAGUUGGUGGGGUAACGGCCUACCAAGCCGACGAUCAGUAGCCGACCUGAGAGGGUGCCGGCCACAUUGGGACUGAGACACGGCCCAA